This is a long non-coding RNA of Carassius auratus (goldfish), 1903 nucleotides long. The record is from Ensembl. Lineage: Eukaryota; Metazoa; Chordata; Actinopteri; Cypriniformes; Cyprinidae.
CAGUUAUUUUAAAAUGUAAUAAUAUUUCCCUGAUUUUUAUUUUAUUUUUUAAAAAUAAAUGCAGCCUUGGAGGGCAAAAGACAUGGCAAAAGACAAAUCACAAACAUCAAGAAAAUCUUAUUCGUUCCAAACUUUUGAGCUGCGAGGUACUAUUUUUCAUCUGUAAAGUUCAGAACCAAAACAAUUCCCUACUCCAAGUAUUAAAGUGUGUAUAUUUUAAGGAGUCAGACUUAACGGUUCGUUUUAGCAAGAUGAUAAUGCGGGCAAAAUUAUCUAUAUAAUUAUAUUGUAACAAGGAUCUCACCUGCAUUUAAGGUUUUUGCACACUGAGUCUGAAAUUUUUGCAAGUUAAAAAAAUAAAUACAACCUCACGCUGUGUCAUUUAUUUCUAUGUAUUUCAUUUAUACACUGCCUUCGAUUUUCUGCAUUUUCAACAUUUUGCUAUGAAAGGAUGACAAAUAACAAAAAACAAAAGAGUGCAUACAACAUUUCAGACUUUUAGAGAGCAAAACAUAAUUAACAGUUGCAUAAUGACACAUUUUAUUUGUAUCUGUGUCCAUUUCUCUCUUGCAGACCCAUCAGGCCGUCUCUCAGCGGUGAGCGGCGGGAUCUUUCACCGGGCUCACGGACACGCACCUGCUCGGAUAACAUUCCCAGAGGAGCCACACGUGGACUGAUCAGUUUUAAAAUGAACAGACAACCGAUCAAAAUCAGCCCCAUGCAGGGGAACAGGACAUCCAAUAAGGUGUCCGAGACGCCCGGUUUCAGAGCCCAAUGUCAAACUCCCACCCCGGGGAGAGACUUCACAGGAAACAGCAGAUGGAGACCCAAAAGAGCAUCGGAUACUCUUCUCUGCCAUGAUGAGAACCAUACGGGCGCGUCUGAAAGCUCUUCGUUCAAGAUCCAUAGAGGCCUGGAUCCAGGGGAACUGGAGGAAGAGGAAACCGAAGGGACACAAGGCCACUCUCCGGUGAAAGAGGCACAGAGGUCGUCCACUUCAGAGGACACAGCGCACGUUUCACUGGAAGAGCGCAAAUUAAAGUCAACCGGUUCUGUCGGUGACGUCUCUAAGAACGCUGCAAGCAAAAACAAGAAUGGGACUGUGUUGAAUGAACAGUCUGUUUCGAAACUGUCCAAUCAUGAACCCAGCCUCCGCUCAGGCCGCUCUCUUCAGGAAGCUCCAGCUAGGCAUCCGAGGACCUCUGGAGAAAGAGUUGCCCCCUCUGUGCCUGUUAGAAAAGACAUACUCACUUCACCUCCAGAGGCCAAGAGCAAAGACCCCUUUGGGUCGUUUUACAGCAACAGACUGAGGAGGAAGCCCCCAGUUUUCUACAAGACAUACAAGAGAUCCAAGCCUAGCUCCACAGAGCCAAUCGUGCUGUCCAGCGAUGAUGAAGGAGCCGAUGAGAUGAAUGACGUGUCUGGGGGUUUGCAAGAGCAGCGGAUUUCUGAGGGGAUCAGGGACGCUCAGUCAGGGAACCAAAAGAGCCCAAAGACAAACGCAGGAGGUGAAACAUCAGCGACCAAAGUAGAAGUGCCUUCCAACAUCGAACUGGACUUCAGCAGACUCCAUUACGACACAUUCGAGGCGCAGGCCAACGGGACCAUUGUGAUCACAGAUGAAGGCAUCUAUGUACCACUGAAAGGUGUUGAUGGAGAGGGUGAGGUAGCCGUUAGCGUGUCAUGCUCUCAGCUGCUCUUGUACGGCGUGUGGGACGGCGGACUGGCCCGAGACGGCAGUUUGUUAUCGAGCACAGAGGAGCCCGCACCUUCUCUCCUCUUCCUCAUGGUGUCAGAUGCUCAAGCCAGGCUACUCCAGACAGAGCUGUCUGUGCUGCACACCGUACACACUUCAGGUGAGCCCUGCACAGGAGCAUUCUGGGUAGGGAUCCAUUUGAGCUGA